UACGUAGGGGGCAAGCGUUGUCCGGAAUCAUUGGGCGUAAAGAGCGUGUAGGCGGCUCGGGUAGUCUGGUGUGAAAUCUUUCGGCUCAACCGGAAGCGGUCACUGGAUACUCUCGGGCUUGAAUCCGGAAGAGGAGAGUGGAAUUCCUGGUGUAGCGGUGGAAUGCGCAGAUAUCUGGAGGAAUACCGGUGGCGAAGGCGGCAUCCUGGACCGACAUUGACGCUGAACGGCGAAAGCUAGGGGAGCAAACGGG
Molecule: ribosomal RNA, 253 nt
Filed under: uncultured bacterium
Lineage: Bacteria
Description: partial 16S ribosomal RNA
Rfam family: Bacterial small subunit ribosomal RNA
Source: RNAcentral